UGUAAUAUCCUGGAGAUUUGACCCCUGAUAAGACCAUAGUGCCCAAUAUGCCGGAUGAGAAUAUGACCAUCACCGUGACAACUGUGCGAUAAUCUGAAUGUCAAAAUAAAGAUCAUUCGUUUACGGAUCGUUGUACUGACAACACCUUCAGCCUUCUGUUUAUUCUUCUACUUUGCGAUAUUGUGCCUUUGUUAUAACUUGAACGUUUAAUUCAAAUUGGUAAAAUUCGAGGUUUUACAUCUCAGAAGUGGGAUACGUCUUAUCGCCUGCACCUGCUUUGCUGUCCAAUCCAGCACGGCAAAAGAUUGUGUAUCGAAGAGUUUGUUUGUUUGUGUGUGAGAUGACGCUACCAUCUGCCAUUGCAAUGCGCAAAAACAAGAAGCUUCUGUGUGUGCUUGCCGGUAUAGGCAGCCAAUUCGAUGUUUAGACAACGAUUUGCCUCAUGGCUAGACCAGAUUACGCCAGAUUCACCAGCCACAACGAUAUCGAUCCCUGCAACCCUAAAGACACCAGCCAUCUAGCACUUGCAUUUAGUGUGGCCGCCAUCUUGUUCAUCUUGCACGACAAUGACACCGCCAUUUAGUAUUAAUACGGCCGCUGUUUAUUCUUUCAUCAUCGCUCAUACUUGGAAUACUGGAAAAGCUUCGCGCAUCACUUCUGUUAUUGCAUGUGCACCGCACGCCGUGUUGUCAUCGCCUCCGAUUUAUCGUGUGUAUUGCCUUCCGCCACUUUAUGGAUUGACCCCGCUACCACCCUCUACCGCCGCGUCAUGUUCGAGUGCUGUGGCAUCGGUUGUAGCCUACUGAGCUGUUGAACAACAAUCAUUGUGGUGUCGUUCAGUAUUCAGGUUCAUCCUGAUCGACAUUGUCCUUAUGCUUGGCUGUAACUUCUGUAAACGUCAGCAAGACUUCUGGAGGAGAUGCCGAUCAGCGGCAGCAGUACUUACACCCACUAUGAGAUUGAUUCAACCGCACGCAUCACAUGACGACAUCAUUCAGGAUCAGUUCUUUUCGAUAUCAGCAUCGUCCUCAUGCUUGGCUGUAACUUCCGUAAACUUCAGCAAGACUUCCGGAGGAGAUGUUGGUCAGAAAAGCAGCUGUGAUUGAAAUUGACCCAACUUUACGCAUCAUAUGACGACAUCAUUCCGGAUCAACACCUUUCGAUAUCAUCAUCGUACUUAUGCUUGGCUGUAACUUCCGUAAACUUCAGCAAGACUUCCGGAGGAGAUGUUGGUCAGAAAAGCAGUUGUGAUUGAAAUAAAGCCGCUCAAAUUGAGGUCAAUUUGUUUGUCAGGAUAGCCGAGCUGUAAUAUCCUGGAGAUUUGACCCCUGAUAAGACCAUAGUGCCCAAUAUGCCGGAUGAGAAUAUGACCAUCACCGUGACAACUGUGCGAUAAUCUGAAUGUCAAAAUAAAGAUCAUUCGUUUACGGAUCGUUGUACUGACAACA
Anopheles coluzzii is the source of this 1448-nucleotide long non-coding RNA. RefSeq lists it as uncharacterized. NCBI's taxonomy places the organism in Eukaryota, Metazoa, Arthropoda, Insecta, Diptera, Culicidae. The record is from RefSeq and is a predicted model, not a curated record. The transcript is spliced from 2 exons.